Molecule: ribosomal RNA, 377 nt
Filed under: uncultured bacterium
Lineage: Bacteria
Description: bacterial SSU rRNA
Rfam family: Bacterial small subunit ribosomal RNA
Source: RNAcentral
UAACACGUAGGGGCCGAGCGUUGUCCGGAGUUACUGGGCGUAAAGGGCGCGCAGGCGGUCGUUCGCAUCACCGGUGAAAGCCCCGGGCUUAACCCGGGAGGGUCCGGUGAGAUGGGGCGACUGGAGGCAGGGCGAGGCCGGUGGAAUUCCGGGUGUAGUGGUGAAAUGCGUAGAGAUCCGGAGGAACACCAGUGGCGAAGGCGGCCGGCUGGACCUGACCUGACGCUGAGGCGCGAAGGCGUGGGGAGCGAACGGGAUUAGAUACCCCGGUAGUCCACGCAGUAAACGAUGGGCACUGGGUGUGGCGGGAGUUGACCCCUGCCGUGCCGGAGUUAACACGGUAAGUGCCCCGCCUGGGGAGUACGGCCGCAAGGCUA